UACGUAGGGGGCAAGCGUUGUCCGGAUUUAUUGGGCGUAAAGAGCGUGUAGGCGGCUUUACAGGUCCGUUGUGAAAACUCGAGGCUCAACCUCGAGACGCCGGUGGAAACCGUAAAGCUAGAGUCCGGAAGAGGAGAGUGGAAUUCCUGGUGUAGCGGUGAAAUGCGCAGAUAUCAGGAAGAACACCCGUGGCGAAGGCGGCUCUCUGGGACGUUACUGACGCUGAGACGCGAAAGCGUGGGGAGCAAACAGG
Molecule: ribosomal RNA, 253 nt
Filed under: uncultured bacterium
Lineage: Bacteria
Description: partial 16S ribosomal RNA
Rfam family: Bacterial small subunit ribosomal RNA
Source: RNAcentral